Long non-coding RNA from Cynoglossus semilaevis (tongue sole), 341 nucleotides. RefSeq lists it as uncharacterized. The transcript has 3 exons. NCBI's taxonomy places the organism in Eukaryota, Metazoa, Chordata, Actinopteri, Pleuronectiformes, Cynoglossidae. The record is from RefSeq and is a predicted model, not a curated record.
ACCAGUUUGACCAGUUCAACCAGAGCAGAUCAAUGGAGAUGGUCUGUUAUUGAAGAGAACAAUGUCAGUUGGUGAGGUUCACAGACCAUGUCAGUUGGUGAUGGGAUUUGACCCAGUUCUGAGAGGAGAUCAAUUGGAUUAAAAAAAGAUGGUGAUAAAAUCAUAUGUUGACUUGAGGUCAUUAGUUCCAGUUCAUUAGUUCCAGUUCAUUAGUUCCAGGUCAUUAGUUCCAGGUCACUAGUGUUCUGUCAGUAGAUCGAGGUGUAAAGAGGUGAGGUCGAUGGAGGCCCGGUUCUUAGGAGGGCAGAGCUGACGGGGCUCUGUCGGCGUCGGCAGCCGUC